This 440-nucleotide ribosomal RNA is filed under the name uncultured Duganella sp. RNAcentral describes it as "bacterial SSU rRNA". It matches the Rfam family "Bacterial small subunit ribosomal RNA", at positions 358 to 790 of the family's 1533-position model. The record is from RNAcentral. Lineage: Bacteria; Pseudomonadati; Pseudomonadota; Betaproteobacteria; Burkholderiales; Oxalobacteraceae.
GGAAUUUUGGACAAUGGGCGCAAGCCUGAUCCAGCAAUGCCGCGUGAGUGAAGAAGGCCUUCGGGUUGUAAAGCUCUUUUGUCAGGGAAGAAACGGAUUUUUCUAAUACAGAGAUCUAAUGACGGUACCUGAAGAAUAAGCACCGGCUAACUACGUGCCAGCAGCCGCGGUAAUACGUAGGGUGCAAGCGUUAAUCGGAAUUACUGGGCGUAAAGCGUGCGCAGGCGGUUUUGUAAGACUGUCGUGAAAUCCCCGGGCUCAACCUGGGAAUGGCGAUGGUGACUGCAAGGCUAGAGUUUGGCAGAGGGGGGUAGAAUUCCACGUGUAGCAGUGAAAUGCGUAGAUAUGUGGAGGAACACCGAUGGCGAAGGCAGCCCCCUGGGUCAAAACUGACGCUCAUGCACGAAAGCGUGGGGAGCAAACAGGAUUAGAUACCCCAG